UCGCUCUCUUGCUUCGCUUACUUUCCUACCCACUAGGGCCAGCCGCCUAGAUGUCCUAACCUUACUUUUGGCUGACUGGAGCCAGUGGCCGCGGUGUUCUAAUCUUACUUUUGGCAAACUAGAGCCAGUGGCUGAGGUGUCCUACUUUUAGGUCGACUGGAGCCAGUGGGUAUGCUGACCUGUGAUUUCUUCAAUUUGUUUUUGGUACCGGUCCUGGUUCCUCUACUCGUUCUGGUCGGCUGUGCUUGCAAAGAUGUUUCUGGUUACAGUAGAAACAAAAGCUGAUGUUACUUGCGUUGUACAACGAAUUUAUCGGAUGUGCUGAUGGCUGUCGGAAAAAGAAUUUCUGCCAAUUGACAUAUCCGACAAACUCGUCGUAUGAUGCAUGUGGGAGGACUUCGAUAGACCACAUAGAUGAUUAGUUAAUUUAAUAUAAAAUUUUCUAAUUGAUGGUCCAGCGAGAAGACUCCAGGCACUGAUCGAUGUGAGUGGACGUGUACUAUCGCAUUGUGCGCUAACAGGAUCUUUCCCGACAAAUAUAAGUCGAAGACGGACAUAAAUAGACAAGGAUACCACUGUCUCUCUCUCAGCACGAGGUCAUCUGCCAAAAACAAAGACAGAACUCUUUCCAGUUUAUUACGUAGUUCAAUGCCUUAUAUAGGAUCAAAAAGAAACUUAAGAGCAGCCAAAACGACGUUUUCAGAAGACACAUUUUUCGGCUCUCGAAAUAUUUAAAAUCCACCCCAAACAGCACAAAUCGUCUCCCAACGUUGAAAUAUUGGCCGCAGACCUGAUCUAACUGAAGAGUAGGUAAUCCUGUAUAUGCACAUACACUAUACAUAUGUACUUAAUUGAAAACUGAGGCUGCGUACCGUAAUUCACUGCUAGUGCUGAAAAUCUGUAGUUUAUGUUACGUAUAUUAUAGAUUUUCAGUACUGGCAACAAAUUAACGCAACUUGAGGUUUUUUAGUCCCAGAAGAACAUCAUCUGCUAUCUGUAAUAUUCGAUGAAAAAUUUUAUAUACAUUCAUAAAAUAUUUAUAAUAGUGUCAUUCGAAUAUAUUAAAAAUAUAUUAUAUUAUAUAUAAGCUACAUUCCAAUAUUCACUGCCACUGUGCUGAAAAUCUAUAGUAUACGUAACAUGAACUAUAGAUUUUCAGCGGUAGCAGUGAAUUUUGGAAUACAGCUGCAAUAUAUUAAGAAUAUACCAAUGAUAUAACAGUGUUUAAUACAUUCUAUGAAUAUAUAGAUAUUCGUAAUGAACAAUUCAUAGAAUAUUCCUGGGAGCUACAUUCCGUACGAUUAGUUGUAGAAAGGUUGCGCCAUUUUUUUCAAUGAAUUUCGCAAUAUAUCUAAUGUUUAAUAGGAAAACGUAUCUCCUGAGAAUUACUGAAGAACAAAUUCUCUUAUUGAACGCGGGAUCCGUUCCGAAGCUUAUAGAAAAAAAAAUAUUGUAACCGUUUUGUGACUGACUGUACACGUUUACGACAACUGUCGGUUCGUGUCGUUGCGCAGCUAUUUUAUAUGAUUAAUGGUCCGUUCUUUUUAGUUGUACUGCUGAACUAGUUUAAUAAAUUAAAGCGAAACAAAAUAUACUUGAUCUCGCUCUAACACACCAGUUCAGCAAAACAGCUAAAAAGAACAGAUCAUAUAUCUGCGCAACGACAUAUAACUAAUCGACAGUAGUCGAUAAGCACGUACAGAAUAUAGCCCCUGUGCUAUCUGUUUUUAUCUUCUUCGUAUCAUUAGUCGCAAAAAUUUGUGUUGCUUUCGCAUGUGCUACCUCGACACCAUGGGAUCUCACACACGCAGUACAAAAAAAUAAACUUAUUUAUAGCGGCAACACAUGUCAUUCUUGUUAUUUUCUCGCUGGAUAUUUCCUCGUCCGCUUCGAGGUUGAUCGAAAAGAUCAACGACGGAUAAAGGCUUCGAGGACUGAGUGAUUUAUCAACAAGAACGUCGAGAUAUUUAUUAACUUUCUCUGUGUGAGAAGAGCAAAUAAAAAAAACAAUAUUGUUGUUCUUAUUUUACUUGUCGCUCGCUUCUUUCAUAUCGCGUACUCUUGUAUGUGCGGAAAGAAAGAAACGCGCAUGAGGAGUUUACAUUCGUAUUGUUCGAGACAUCGUCGUGGAUGAUUCACCUCGGCGUUGGCCGAUUUGUCGUUUAUCGCCAAUAUGUCAUUCGCUUGUGGAUAAAACGCGGAUGUUAUUUUAACUCGCGCGCUUGGGAAAAGAGAAAGAGAAGGAGAGAGGUAAGGAGAGAACGAUCGUUUCAUUUCUCGCCGUUAUCGACGAUUAAACAUCACCGAUUUGAAAAUGGUAUUUUUUAGAACUCAACGUCCGCGCGGCCGGAAUGCGCGCGGUUGCAUAAUGCACACGGUAACCUUCGAACUCGGACGGGGUAAGCAGCGUUAUGCUCAAUAAAAUUUUAUUGCUGUCGUGGCAAGAUAACCCCGCGACGACGCUAGAUUGGAGACCCCUUCUUAUUCAUAAAAUCGUAACGCUCGACUCGACUCGUUAAAUAGUGACAAUAUAUUUUACGGCCGUGCAAUUUUAAUUUUAAAGCGCCGUUUGUACAUAGAAUACUACAAUUGUAUAUAUAUCGCGAGUACCGUAAGUAUAAGAGAGAUAGUCACGGUGUGAAAUUUUUUGUUAUUGAAUUGUACGUAGUCAGUGACUACGUACACGGAAACGUUAAUCCGGUUAUAAGUAACAACCGUGGUUAGCAAACUCUUACAUUCGAUUGGUAUAUUCUUUUAGAUCUAAUAAUAUAUUCCAGUUAAAUGCAAGAACUGACUAACUACUGCUAGUCUUGCUAUUAAAUCGGAUUAACGUCCCGCAAAAAAGUGGUUAUAUAUGAUUAUAUAUAAUUAUAUAAAAUCAUAUAUGAAUUUUGCCCAUAUAUGCGGUCACAUAUAUGAUCAUACAUGACCAUACGAAAAAAAUGAUGUUACGUCAUUCAAUUAAAUAUCGAUUUCACCUCAGCGUUGGCCGAUUUGUCGUUUAUCGCCAAUAUGUCAUUCGCUUGUGGAUGAAAUACGGAUGUUAUUUUAACUCGCGCGCUUGGGAAAAGAGAGGGAGAGAGGCGAGAACGAUCGUUUCGUUUCUCACCGUUAUCAACGAUUAAACACCACCGAUUUGAAAAUGUAUUUUUUAGAACUCAACGUCC
Molecule: long non-coding RNA, 3167 nt
Organism: Dinoponera quadriceps
Lineage: Eukaryota; Metazoa; Arthropoda; Insecta; Hymenoptera; Formicidae
Exons: 5
Source: RefSeq, a predicted model, not a curated record